Molecule: ribosomal RNA, 1520 nt
Filed under: Psychrobacter sp. KJF7-6
Lineage: Bacteria; Pseudomonadati; Pseudomonadota; Gammaproteobacteria; Moraxellales; Moraxellaceae
Description: bacterial SSU rRNA
Rfam family: Bacterial small subunit ribosomal RNA
Source: RNAcentral
UAGAGUUUGAUCCUGGCUCAGAUUGAACGCUGGCGGCAGGCUUAACACAUGCAAGUCGAGCGGAAACGAUGAUAGCUUGCUAUCAGGCGUCGAGCGGCGGACGGGUGAGUAAUACUUAGGAAUCUACCUAGUAGUGGGGGAUAGCACGGGGAAACUCGUAUUAAUACCGCAUACGACCUACGGGAGAAAGGGGGCAGUUUACUGCUCUCGCUAUUAGAUGAGCCUAAGUCGGAUUAGCUAGAUGGUGGGGUAAAGGCCUACCAUGGCGACGAUCUGUAGCUGGUCUGAGAGGAUGAUCAGCCACACCGGGACUGAGACACGGCCCGGACUCCUACGGGAGGCAGCAGUGGGGAAUAUUGGACAAUGGGGGAAACCCUGAUCCAGCCAUGCCGCGUGUGUGAAGAAGGCCUUUUGGUUGUAAAGCACUUUAAGCAGUGAAGAAGACUCCGUGGUUAAUACCCACGGACGAUGACAUUAGCUGCAGAAUAAGCACCGGCUAACUCUGUGCCAGCAGCCGCGGUAAUACAGAGGGUGCAAGCGUUAAUCGGAAUUACUGGGCGUAAAGGGAGCGUAGGUGGCUCUAUAAGUCAGAUGUGAAAUCCCCGGGCUCAACCUGGGAACUGCAUCUGAAACUGUAGAGCUAGAGUAUGUGAGAGGAAGGUAGAAUUCCAGGUGUAGCGGUGAAAUGCGUAGAGAUCUGGAGGAAUACCGAUGGCGAAGGCAGCCUUCUGGCAUAAUACUGACACUGAGGCUCGAAAGCGUGGGUAGCAAACAGGAUUAGAUACCCUGGUAGUCCACGCCGUAAACGAUGUCUACUAGUCGUUGGGUCCCUUGAGGACUUAGUGACGCAGCUAACGCAAUAAGUAGACCGCCUGGGGAGUACGGCCGCAAGGUUAAAACUCAAAUGAAUUGACGGGGGCCCGCACAAGCGGUGGAGCAUGUGGUUUAAUUCGAUGCAACGCGAAGAACCUUACCUGGUCUUGACAUAUCUAGAAUCCUGCAGAGAUGCGGGAGUGCCUUCGGGAAUUAGAAUACAGGUGCUGCAUGGCUGUCGUCAGCUCGUGUCGUGAGAUGUUGGGUUAAGUCCCGCAACGAGCGCAACCCUUGUCCUUAGUUACCAGCGGGUUAAGCCGGGAACUCUAAGGAUACUGCCAGUGACAAACUGGAGGAAGGCGGGGACGACGUCAAGUCAUCAUGGCCCUUACGACCAGGGCUACACACGUGCUACAAUGGUAGGUACAGAGGGCAGCUACACAGCGAUGUGAUGCGAAUCUCAAAAAGCCUAUCGUAGUCCAGAUUGGAGUCUGCAACUCGACUCCAUGAAGUAGGAAUCGCUAGUAAUCGCGGAUCAGAAUGCCGCGGUGAAUACGUUCCCGGGCCUUGUACACACCGCCCGUCACACCAUGGGAGUUGAUUGCACCAGAAGUGGAUAGCUUAACCUUCGGGGAGGCGUUCACCACGGUGUGGUUGAUGACUGGGGUGAAGUCGUAACAAGGUAGCCGUAGGGGAACCUGCGGCUG